AUCGACUUACAAGGGUGUGAAAAAAUGGGCUCGAUAUUAAAUCGAGAAAAAAUAUGAUUUUUAUAGUUUUAAAAUGGUUUUGAACUAAAUUAAAAUACAACAACUAUGCAUUAUUAACAAAUGAAAUUAUGAGUAUAAUAAACAUAAAAAGAAAAUGUUAAUAAAAUACUAAAAUAAAAAAUACUAAAAGAAGAUAAAAUAAAAUAAUAAACAAAAAGUACUGCACAUGAGUAUUGAACCCUCUCCACUUAAUAUUAUGAAACUACCCUCUCUCCACUAGGCCAUUCAUGAUCAGUUAUCAUUUUAGCAAACACUUGGGAAUAUAAACAGAACUAGCUAGAGAUAGUUUAGAAAACAAAUCAAUUAAAAGAGGGGAUAGGCUAAUGUUACUGGACAGCCUACCUAAACUAAACAACAUUAAUAUACACUAUGUAAUAAAAGAAAAAGAAAAAAAAAUGCUAAACAUAUUACAAAUUUUUGUGGUUUUUCUAUUUAUUUAUCUCUGUUUAACAAAAAGAAAUUGAAUUAAUUAAAAAAAGAAAAGAAAAAAAAGGAAAUGGAGACGAAGAAGAAGAUGACAGAAGCUCGUCUUCCUCCGGUAUCGCCCUCACGAUCUUUCUUCUCUCCCAACCUUACACUUCUCUCUCAAGCGCGCUCCUAACCCUCAAUCUCACUCAAACGCUCUCUCAGCUCACAAUCUCAAAGAAACAUUCUCUCUCAACUCUCACAAAUAUUUUCAAACAACAAGCAUAUGAGAAGGAUAAAGAGAAAGAAAGAGAGGUCCUUACA
Molecule: long non-coding RNA, 789 nt
Filed under: Lathyrus oleraceus (garden pea)
Lineage: Eukaryota; Viridiplantae; Streptophyta; Magnoliopsida; Fabales; Fabaceae
Description: Pisum sativum (pea) long non-coding RNA (PSAT_LNC031004)
Source: RNAcentral